AUGGCGAGUGGCAGCAACAAGGAACCCACAGUGGCAUCAGGUGACGAGGCCGCUAGCUCGGCCGCCGGUCCGCCAGGGGUGGCAGCGCCGCCGCCACAAGGAGCUGAGCCCGGGGACGAUGAGGCGGCGGCGGCCGUGCUGGCUGCUGGCCCCACCAGGCCAUACUACGAGUGCGUCUUCUGCAAGCGCGGGUUCACCACGGCGCAGGCUCUCGGUGGGCACAUGAACAUCCACCGCCGCGACCGUGCCAAACCCAGCGUCCGCGACGCUCCCAGCGGCACCACCACAUCAGCGUCUCCAAACGUCGAGUGCUAUAAUCAGUACUACAGCCACCACCUGCCGUAUCCCACAGUGCCUCCGGCGACGGCGACGCCGAUGAGCACGAGCGGAAGUUUCACGCUAGCGUACUACCAGCAUCAGGGCACAGGGGCUUCGACCGGAGACGCGCAUGCGGAUGCCUCCGUGAACCCUAGCAGUGCUAGCCCGAGGGAGCUCAGCCUGUUCGGUGCGGCAGCUCGUGACCGUGACUCGCACGGCCGCGGUAGCGACGGGUCUGGCGUGGCGCCAGAAGGGUCGGAUCGGCAGGCAGGUGAGCCGCCCGAAAGGGAGAUUGACCUGGAGCUCAGGCUCGGACGUCGUCCGCAUUGA
This 648-nucleotide ribosomal RNA is filed under the name Triticum aestivum (bread wheat). Its description in RNAcentral is "partial small subunit ribosomal RNA". Lineage: Eukaryota; Viridiplantae; Streptophyta; Magnoliopsida; Poales; Poaceae. The record is from RNAcentral.